Molecule: ribosomal RNA, 411 nt
Filed under: Verrucomicrobiota bacterium
Lineage: Bacteria; Pseudomonadati; Verrucomicrobiota
Description: Verrucomicrobia bacterium partial 16S ribosomal RNA
Rfam family: Bacterial small subunit ribosomal RNA
Source: RNAcentral
UGGGGAAUCUUGCGCAAUGGGGGAAACCCUGACGCAGCGACGCCGCGUGCGGGAUGAAGGCCUUCGGGUUGUAAACCGCUUUCAGCAGGGACGAGGCCUUAUGGUGACGGUACCUGCAGAAGAAGCUCCGGCUAAAUACGUGCCAGCAGCCGCGGUAAUACGUAUGGAGCAAGCGUUAUCCGGAUUCAUUGGGCGUAAAGCGCUCGUAGGCGGUCUGUUAGGUCGGCAAGUUAAAUCCGGGGGCUCAACCCCCGUCCGCUUCCGAUACCGGCAGACUUGAGUUUGGUAGGGGAAGGUGGAAUUCCUAGUGUAGCGGUGGAAUGCGCAGAUAUUAGGAGGAACACCAGUAGCGAAGGCGGCUUUCUGGACUGCAACUGACACUGAGGCACGAAAGCGUGGGUAGCAAACAGG